CAAUUAAUUAAAAUUAAAAACAAUGCAUAUAACAUUCAGAAGUAGGAUAAUUUGCCUUAACUCAUUAUACCCCCCAUGAAGCAAACAAAAUCGCUGGAGCCUAGAUACCAUUAAAGGAAAGCUGCCUUUAAAAACAUGCACUACAUUGUAAAUGUACAUGAAAUGCAUAAAAAUACAGAUAUACUGCAUAUUGCUCUUAUUUCUAUUUCUUGUAAAUGUACACGAACUGCAUAAAAAUACAGAUAUACUCCAUAUUGCUCUUAUUUCUAUUUCUAGAGAAAUCC
RNAcentral lists this long non-coding RNA (284 nucleotides) under Mytilus galloprovincialis (Mediterranean mussel). The record is from RNAcentral. Lineage: Eukaryota; Metazoa; Mollusca; Bivalvia; Mytilida; Mytilidae.